RNAcentral lists this ribosomal RNA (193 nucleotides) under uncultured Paenibacillus sp. RNAcentral describes it as "partial 16S ribosomal RNA". It matches the Rfam family "Bacterial small subunit ribosomal RNA", at positions 339 to 524 of the family's 1533-position model. The record is from RNAcentral. Lineage: Bacteria; Bacillati; Bacillota; Bacilli; Caryophanales; Paenibacillaceae.
CUACGGGAGGCAGCAGUAGGGAAUCUUCCGCAAUGGACGCAAGUCUGACGGAGCAACGCCGCGUGAGUGAUGAAGGUUUUCGGAUCGUAAAGCUCUGUUGCCAGGGAAGAACGUCUUAGAGAGUAACUGCUCUAAGAGUGACGGUACCUGAGAAGAAAGCCCCGGCUAACUACGUGCCAGCAGCCGCGGUAAU